AGUACGAGAGGACCGAGUUGAACUAACCUCUGGUGUAUCAGUUGUUCCGCCAGGAGCACUGCUGAGUAGCUACGUUGGGAAGGGAUAAGCGCUGAAAGCAUAUAAGCGCGAAACCCACCACAAGAUGAGAUUUCUUUAAAGGGUCGUGGAAGAUUACCACGUUGAUAGGAUACAGGUGUAAAGGCAGUAAUGUCAUAGCCGAGUAUUACUAAUAACCCAUAGGCUUAUGUAG
Molecule: ribosomal RNA, 232 nt
Organism: Tenacibaculum soleae
Lineage: Bacteria; Pseudomonadati; Bacteroidota; Flavobacteriia; Flavobacteriales; Flavobacteriaceae
Rfam family: Bacterial large subunit ribosomal RNA
Source: Rfam